RNAcentral lists this long non-coding RNA (4608 nucleotides) under Canis lupus familiaris (dog). Its description in RNAcentral is "lncRNA (ENSCAFG00845017259.1)". The record is from RNAcentral. Lineage: Eukaryota; Metazoa; Chordata; Mammalia; Carnivora; Canidae.
AAUUCCAGGUAUAAGGAGGGCCUAGCACUCUGUAGUGAGUCUGUGGCAUGGGAUGGCUCUAGAGCGGGCAAGUCCAAAAGCAACUCUUAUGUGUUCUUUUCUUCUAGAAAUCUUCAGGGUAGACCAAAAUGUGUACUGAAAUGUCAGUCUGCUGUGUCCUUCUGUUUACUCUUGCAACUUUUGACUCAGUUUCCCUUUCUUUCCUAGUACUCUCAGGUGACUACGGAAGCAUUAGCACCCUGCAUGCUCAGGUGGCCCCCACUCCUACGGACACAGCUCUUUCACCUAUACGGUUUUCUUCUGUAUUUCCUGAUAUAAGUCUCCCCCUGACCCCACUGGAAUGCAUGGAUUUGCAUUUGUUCUUCCAGGAGUGUCUAACUGGAUGUCCUCUGCAAAUUCAUCAAAUGUGCCAUCUUUUCCAUCAUGUGGUCAUCCCUGGGAUCAUCAUCGAACAUCGUUCUCCACCACUCUGGUCCAUGGAUGGUUGUUCUCUUUUGUCCAUUCCAUCAAAUGUCCUGAACACUGUCAGAAGAGGGAAAAGGCUAAUGGAGCUGUUAAGUCUAAGUAUGACUGCCAAGAUGAAUCCAAAAAAGCCAAAGAGCCUGAGCAUGUCAGACCUUCCUGCAGCCUGCCACACACACUUAAAACCCCAGGGAAAUGAGUGCGGCUCAGGAGGGGGGAAGAGCGCCAACCAGAACCAGUGUCCAUCCCUUACACUUCUACAGAAUCCUGGCUUGAGAUCUCCUCUGUUAUCGCAAAGACUUAAAAAAGGAUUAAAGGUGAGUGAUGGGUUCCUCUGGGUUGCUUCGGCAAAUUUAUGUGCUCACAUAGAAUGUUAAUUGUUUCAGUUUAACUUCAUGGCUCAAGACAAGUAACUGCAUAUUUGUAUCUGACACUUGUAUUUGUCAAAUCCUAAAGUCAACGUGAACCCUAAACAAACCAACUUCUUGGCAUAUCCUCCAAAUAACACACACAGCAAAUAUAUUCACUCUGAUUGUACUCUAAAAAUGUCAGCUCAUCUGUUCUUUUACUCAUGGAGUUAGUGGAAGAUACUUAACCCUGAGCUUGAAAUGAAUGUUAAAUUCCUGUCUUACCAUUUGUUAGGUCUCUUCCUAGUGAUCCUGUGAGUCAAAGAAUUUGCCAUCUGAAAAGCCUAUUUGUUUGUCUGUUCUAUGUAACACGGGUAGGUCAGUAUGCAGACCCACCAUGACUAUACUGAUUAAGAGUAACAUGCUGUAAAUGGGCUUAUCAUGUUAGGAAUACGGAAGUUAUCUUCUCUAUUUCCUGAAACUUCUAAAGAUUCUAGUGCAAGAUUCAUCUCAGUCUUGCAGGAGUUUGAAUAAGGGAAAUAAAGACCAGAGAAUCCAGUACUGCAUUCUGCCAUUUUGUCUUACUUAAUUGUGUAUUUUGUUAUUUGGGGAGCCCAUCUUGAACUUCUUCAGAGAAUCGAAGAGCCCUUAGGUAAUAAAACUUACCUAAAAAUCUUGUUAAAGCAUAGCUUACUGGGCCCCACUCUCAGAGUUUCUGAUUCAGAAGAUUUGAGUUGGGGUCCACGGACUUGUGUUUCUAAUUAGUUCUCUGGUGAUGCCCAUGCUCCUAGUCAGAGGACACCACCUUGGAGCCAUUGGUGUCGAAAAUUUUUUUGAUUUAUUUAUUUUAGAGAGAAAGAGCAAGAGAGUGUGCAAUGUGGGAGAAACAGAGGGAGAGGGAGAGAGAAAUUCAACCAGACUGUGCUGAGCUGGAGCCUAUUUGGGGCUCUAUCUCACCACUCCAAGAUCAUGACCUGAGUGGAAAUCAAGAGUCAGAUGCUUAACUGACUGUGCUGUCCAGGUACCCAGAGAACAUUUUAUUUUAUUUUUUUAAAGAUUCUACUUUAAAGUUAUCUCUACGACCCAUCGUGGGGCUCACUCUCAACCCUGAGAUCAAGAAUUGGAUAUUCUACAGACUGAACCAGCCCAGUACCCUGAAAACAUUUUAAAUGGAUCCAUCUCCUUAAGGAAUUAAGGUCUCCUCCAGGUGCUUGACGGUGGGAACCAUAACCUAUGACACAGAGAACCUGUGCUUCUUGGAAUGUUGGCCCUCUAAGCCGGAACACUGAUUCAGUAUAAAACAAACAAAAUAAAUCCUGGCAACAAUUAGGUUCGUAACAUGAGAGUGGCACUAGGGUUAGAAUGAUUAAAUUUGUCAUAUGUGGACCAAAGUAGAACAAGGGACUGUGUAGGUAAAUGAAGUCCCUCAUUAGCCUUUUAAAAAUGUGUUUUGAAAUUUCUGUGUGUCUAUGUAUGAAUCUUUUAUGAGAUGUAUGUGGAAGCUCCAUUUGGGCACAGGUUUAUUCAGAAUCUUCCCAGAAGAGUGAUUCAGAUUUUAAAAUGUCCACAAUGAUUAUUUUUCUGAAUAAAGGAGGCAUUUUAUGGCAUUUCCUAGUAACCAGGAAACAGAUGCAAGAGCCUGAGUUAAAGUUAAUACCUCAUUAGCUGCGUUAAUAAUUUGACACCUGUAUUUGUGAUUAACAAUCUUAAAGCAAUACAUAGUGUACCUAGUGCUGUGUACCCUAAUUCAGGGAACAUUAAUUCAUUUGAGUGCUGGAUAUUUUUUGAUGUAUUUAUUAAAUAUUAAAUGUCUGACAUUAAAUUAUUCAAGUUUUAUUUGGUUAGGACUCCUACUAUUGUUUUUUUUUUUUUUUCAAUGUGUACAUAUCAUUGUGUAGCUUUUGAAAUGGAAUAGGUUUUUAAAAUCUGGUGUGAAAAUCCAUCUUUCAAUAAGCAAGUUUUAUACUUUAUUGUGAGUACUGCUACAUCUCUUUUUGGUAAUUCAAUCUAUUAUCUACUCUUCUUUGUAUUUAAAUAUCUCUUAUAAAUUAGCCCCUAUUAGUAAUAUUCUUCUUUUUUUUAAGAUGUUAUUUUUUUAAGUAGCGUCUAUACCCAGUGCAGGGCUUGAACUCACCACCCUGAGAUCAAGAGUCAUGUGUUUCACGGACAGAGCCAGUGGGCACCCCAGUAUUAUCCUUGUUCAUACUUAAUGCUUAUUUAGAUUUAUCCUUAAUUUUACUGUUGUCUUUAUUUUUUAAACUGCCAGAUCCUGAGAGGUCUGAGAUUCUGCUCUUCCUACCAGCUAACAACAUAACGUAUACUUUUGCCUGUGUCUCCUGGAUCCAAGACACAUAACUUUAUGACUCACGGCAGUAGCAUAGUAGCUCUAGUCUUUCAGUAUUUUUCUGAUGGUUCCUACAGAGGCAACUCUCCGAUUCCUUGUUAUGCUUUAGGUGUGGGCUAUAGAUUUUUUUUUUUAUGGAUGGUUUUAUUUGUCCUCCUUACUGAACUAUGUGGUUAUUCCAUAGUAUGUGAAAAUGUUGACAUUUGAGCAGUUUCUAUUAUGUUAAGGGAACUGAAAGUAUUUUUUUCAUUUUUUAAGGAAAAUUUUUUCAGAGCUUUUGUACUUUAGAACUUUCAGCAUUUUUUCUGUACUUUUCAGAGCCAUCACCUUUAGAUUUUACCCUCCUUAUUAUUAAAUAAGGAGGUGGAGGGAUCCCUGGGUGGCGCAGCGGUUUAGCGCCUGCCUUGGGCCCAGGGCGCAAUCCUGGAGACCCGGGAUCGAAUCCCACGUCAGGCUCCCAGUGCAUGGAGCCUGCUUCUCCCUCUGCCUGUGUCUCUGCCUCUCUCUCUGUGUGUGACUAUCAUAAAUAAAUUAAAAUAAAUAAAUAAAUAAAUAAAUAAAUAAAUAAAUAAAUAAAUAAAAUAAAGAGGUGGAAAGUAUGGUGGAUAUUAUUUACAAAAAACUCUAAGCAAAAUUUUGGGAAAUGAUCUAAAAAAUUGCUGAGCAUGUCAUUUUACGUACACUACAAAUGCCUAAUGGAAACUUCUGCUUUGUACUUUAAUAUGUCAUAAUGGAGUUGAACAAACAGUAGAUUAACAUCUGAACAUCAAUUUUAAAUUGUAGUUGUAUCUCAUACUGAGUGAUUAUGGAUCCUUUGGUCUUAUUAUCCUCAUCUGUGAAAUGAUUUUCUUCUUACUUUUGCCAUCACUAAUGGUUAAACAUUUAAAAUGUUCCUAGGCAGAAUUAUGAUCCCCCAAAGAUGCCUCAUCCUAAUCCCAGAACCUGUGAGUAUGUGAACUCACAUGGCAAAAAGGCCUUUGCUGAUGAAACAAAGUUAUGAAUUAGAAGUAAGAGAGAAUCUCCUGGAUUAGUUAGAGGCUUGGCAUUGUAAUCACAUGGACCCUAUGAGUUCAAGAGGGAGUCAGGAGAUGUGAUAACAGUAGUUCAGAAUUAUAUAGCAUGAGGAAGACUUGUCUGUAUGUUGCUUGCUGGAUUUGUAAAUGGAAGAGACCAUGAGCCAAGGUGCAUAGGAAACCUCCAGAAACCUGAAAAUUUGGAACAAAAUAGUUUCUCCUCCAGAUCCUCCACAAGGAAUGAAAUCCUGCUAACAACUCUUUUGUGUGUGUAGUUGUAUUUUUAGUUGAAGUAUACCUGACAUAUCAUAUAGCCAAGUAAGACCUGUUUUGUGCCAUUGACCUCCAAAAGUAUAAUAAAUUUAUGUUCUAAACUAUUACAUUUAUUGUAAUUUGUUACAGCAGCAAUAGGAAACUAAUACGCUACUUUAAUAGAUUACUG